Molecule: ribosomal RNA, 417 nt
Filed under: Triticum aestivum (bread wheat)
Lineage: Eukaryota; Viridiplantae; Streptophyta; Magnoliopsida; Poales; Poaceae
Description: partial small subunit ribosomal RNA
Source: RNAcentral
AUGGAGGUUGCCGGCGCCCGUGGUCCGGUGAAGCCACUCAACCUCGACAGCGGGGCCAGCACCGGGCAGAAGCCGCGACUGUCGGAGUCGGACGUGAAGCUCAUCCUGGCCCUGAAGAGCGAGGCGUGCCCGACGCCGGAGGACCCGGAGAGGGCGGCGCUCGCCCGGAGGAUCGACGCCAUGUGGAACGAGUUCCGCGACGACGUCGUGGAGCAGUUCUUCACCAAGGGCUACGUGGAGGUGGAGCACGGCUACUUCGCCGAGAGGGCCAGGUCGGAGGCUUGGGUCAGGGAGAAGUGGGCGACGCUGGACUUCAGCAAGUUCGAGCUGUACCGCCCCGGCGACGAGGGGCUCGACGACUUCGUGGUUCGUCCCGGCGAGGAUGCGGAGGAGGCCAUCUACUACGGCCAAGAGUGA